Non-coding RNA from Prunus avium (sweet cherry), 1455 nucleotides. NCBI's taxonomy places the organism in Eukaryota, Viridiplantae, Streptophyta, Magnoliopsida, Rosales, Rosaceae. The record is from RefSeq and is a predicted model, not a curated record.
GUAACCUUGUAUUGUACAAGUCUACAAAUACAGUUGAAACUGCAAGGCCAUGUUUGGUAGGCCAUCAACUACCACUAACCAGAGAGAGAGCGUUGUCUUGUUGAGGGCGCUGAAGGGUUUUGGGUACUUCUUCUCCUCCUCCUCUUCAUGUUGCCUCUUCUGCGUUGCCAGUUCAAGCAUCAAAACGCAUCCGUUUGCAAAGCUUCUCUCUAAAUCACUGUAAACACACAAGCCUUGGUUUUCUAAACUCAUAAAGGUGAUGAACGCACCGAUAAUGGACCCAUUGCAAGGAGAUUUCCCAGAAGUGAUAGAGGAGUAUUUGGAACUUGGGGUUAUGAAAUGCAUUGCCAUCCCCAUAAGAUGUUUUUUUGAAACUUCUUUUUUUCAUUAGAAAUUAAGUGCUUUGGGCAAUGUGGCAAUGUGGGUAUUUCGAAAGUUGUGAUUUUCUGUUUGUAUUUCUUUUAGUUUUGUCCUGCUGUUUCUAGGGUCCUUUUUGCUGAAUAAAUUGCUUAUUCAAAAAUUAAAAGGAAGGCUGUAAAUUUGUUUGCACAUUGAGGUAUAGAAACACCAUUGCCAGUUUAUACAGCACUCACUUGUUCUUCUUCCACAAUUUGUACUUUUGAAACUAAUAUAUAAGGAGUUGAAUCCACAAUUUGUAAAGAAGUGGAAUUGCUAGCUAUUCCAGAAAAAUUAAAGAAUUGGUCAAUUAGUUGGAAUUUUUUUACGGUUUCGUUUUCAGUUAGGUCUCUGCGUUAAUACCCUGCAUGAGCCUCAGGUUACUUUUAACUGAUUGAUUCUUUAAUUUGUCCUUUACACUUUUAUUGAAGAACACAUAAACUACAGGCAUUUCUUAUUAAUCAUCUUGCUAGCCAAGGAUAUAAACGAAACCCCAUUUACACAGAUUUCUCCCGGAGAUAGGUGCUGUGGAGGUCAAUAUCUGUAAUCAAAUGAGAAAAAGAUAUUGGCCGGGCUUAGUUCAUGGCUUUUCCAGAGGACCAUAAGCUGUAGGAAACAGAAGCCCCAAGUGCCAGAAGAACAAGAACUGCUGCUCCCAUAUUGAUCAACAUCUGCGUCUCUUCAUUGUUCACCCCCUUUCCUAGAUUUCUCAUGCCCUCCUUUGCAGCAGCCAUCACAUUUGCAGCAAUGGAAUCCUCCUCUGUACGCUUCUCUCGGUCAACAGCGCUCCCAGAACUCUUGCUCUUUCUCUUUGCCUUUUCUAAAAUCUUUGGGACAGCCCCUGCUUCUUUGCUUCUCUCAUUGGCCUCUCUUUCCUUCUGCAGACUGGUUUCAGCAACUCUCUCAGCAUUCUUUGGUUCUGUUGGCUUCCCUUUUGCUUCACUCUGAUCCUUUCGAUCAACAUGCUCAGCAGACUAGUCAAAGUUAUCACCCUCUUCUCAUCUCUCUGUUUCUCAUUCUGGAUUGCUGGAUUUGCUUUUGGAAGGGCCUCAUCCUUAU